This 424-nucleotide ribosomal RNA is filed under the name Verrucomicrobiota bacterium. Its description in RNAcentral is "Verrucomicrobia bacterium partial 16S ribosomal RNA". It matches the Rfam family "Bacterial small subunit ribosomal RNA", at positions 355 to 776 of the family's 1533-position model. Lineage: Bacteria; Pseudomonadati; Verrucomicrobiota. The record is from RNAcentral.
UGAGGAAUAUUGGUCAAUGGGCGAGAGCCUGAACCAGCCAAGUAGCGUGCAGGAUGACGGCCCUAUGGGUUGUAAACUGCUUUUAUGUGGGGAUAAAGUGCGUGACGUGUCAUGCAUUGCAGGUACCACAUGAAUAAGGACCGGCUAAUUCCGUGCCAGCAGCCGCGGUAAUACGGAAGGUCCGGGCGUUAUCCGGAUUUAUUGGGUUUAAAGGGAGCGUAGGCUGUCUAUUAAGCGUGUUGUGAAAUUUACCGGCUCAACCGGUGGCUUGCAGCGCGAACUGGUCGACUUGAGUAUGCAGGAAGUAGGCGGAAUUCAUGGUGUAGCGAUGAAAUGCUUAGAUAUCAUGACGAACUCCGAUUGCGCAGGCAGCUUACUGUAGCAUAACUGACGCUGAUGCUCGAAAGUGCGGGUAUCAAACAGG